Molecule: long non-coding RNA, 2163 nt
Organism: Acromyrmex echinatior (Panamanian leafcutter ant)
Lineage: Eukaryota; Metazoa; Arthropoda; Insecta; Hymenoptera; Formicidae
Source: RefSeq, a predicted model, not a curated record
UUAGUAUGAUUAAAAAUAUAAUUUCUCUUUUUAAUAAAAAAAAACUUAAAAUAUUUUAGUCCAUCAGCCAAUGAUAGUUUAGAUUUAUCGAAUCAAAGACUCGAUGAUAAAGCUGGAGCUGAAUUUGAAGAGCCAAGUAAUGUGUGUCACUUUCAGAUUUUUUGAUGAAAAAUGAAGAGAGAUGGAGUUUGUGUGCUACAGUGGAAUUGAUGUAGCGUACGAAACAAAUUUCCUUAAAUCUUCUACAAAGUUAUAGACUAUAAAAUCAUGUUUUUGCAAGAGAUAGUAUUAUUCCUAGAUAGUUUAUGUCAUGUAAACAAGCAUUAGAAAGGACAAGUCGAAUAAGGAGAGAAAAGCAUUAGUAUGAUCAUUAACAAAAAUGUUAAAUAUUGUCAUGUCAGUUUUAGACAUGACAAUAUUCAACUAAUUUUAGAAAUACAAAAUUAUUAUUAAUCUUAGGGAUCAAUGGUAUGCUAUAAUUAACAGACAUUCGAAUUAAAAGAUUCCAUCACAAUAUAUGUAAAAAUGUAAGUAAAGCGAGUAAAGAAGCAUAAGACUUUUUUCUGUAAAAAUGAGAUAACAAGCAUGAACUGUGAUUCAUAUAUGCGCAUCUGGGUCUUGUAAAGCUACUUGAUUUCAGAUACUGUUACAUGCUUUAAGUUAAAAGAUGAAAAUGACAUAGACUACACAGGUGAGAAGAAAGUGGUUCACUUGCACACUGUAGCAAUUGUUCACUGCCAAUCAUAACGACUUUUGCGUAGAUAAAUUUUUUAUUUUUUUAUUUUUCUUUUUUAUUAUUUUAUUUUUCUAGCACUGUGAUUGGCUUGUGCACAAUUGGCUUGUGUAUAAUUGAUAUAUACGAGAGAAAGGCGAUUUUAGAUUAUUAUUGCAUUUGUAAGUCAGACACAAGGAUAGUAUAUAAGUACAUGUGCACGCGUAGCCAGCGUGUUAUGGCACUUAGGAUAUGCACGACAUUAGCCCAAUGUAUCCCUUUUCGUUGUUAUUAAACACAAUAAUAACAAAUGCUAUUUCAAGACCACAAUAGAAUCCGAAUAAUAAAAAAAUAAAUUAAUAAACAAUUGAAAUAAUUUAUUUUUUAUUAAAUAACAGCGCGAGAAUAGAUGGUGGAUAGCGUCCGAGUCUACCAUGCUAGGGGACUCGAGUUCAAUCCCCGACAGAUCUACGAAAUUUUCACACGCUCGUAUCUCCUCUUUGGUGAUCUGAAAAACUACCAAGAAUAUCUAUUGCCAAGAAAACCUCUCAAACUGCUGUUCGAAACUGGCAUCAAAUUGUAGGUCCCGUAUGUCUGUGUCAAUCUUGCAUGUCAAUCUCGCACCACUGACAUAUGUAGGAGAAGUAGGCCCUAUUCAGAUAGGGAACGAGAAACCGAAAGGAGUCAUUAUAGAACUGGAGACAGAUUAAAUAACUGCAUCGGAGCAUUUAUUUAACCAUACAUAUACAUGCACGCACACAGGCGUGGACGCACGUACACACGGGACCAGUUCUCUACCACGUUCAUGUUAGUCCUAUAUUAAGAGUUCCUGUGCAUUGAGGCAUUCCAAAGAAUGAAAAGGCGGACAAACUUAUCAAGCAGAAUUUAACAGCAAGAGAAAAUUUGAAAGGAAUGCGCUCAAUCUAAGAAGUAACAAUACGCAGAAUUAUAUUAUAAGGAAGCAAUCAAGCCGUAUCAAAUAAAAGCCUUGAAAAGAGAAGAAAUUGUGAUGAUUAACCGUAUACGCAGCAAUCACUACAACUUGAAUUUCAGUUUAUUCAGAAAAAGUAUUAUAGAUUCUCCGAACUAUCCUUGCGAAGGAGCAAGUCUGUUGUAUUGUCAUCUGUACAGGCACAAUAGACAAAUAAUAUCAGAAAAUAUAUAUAAUAUGAGAAAUUCUCUGAAUCUUCAAAUAAUAUUCUCUAUGUUCAAAGAUCCCUCUUCCCAAAAGUAUGUUGAUUCCUAUUUGCGGUGUUGUUUAAGUCAAUCAAUCAAUAUCCAGAUUUGAAUCCAACUGACUGGUCGCUGGCGCCUCUCUCUCCUCGGGGGAGAGAGUGCGCAAAGCAAGCGGGUGAUCGGAGUUCAGGCUCCACAGAGAUAUAGAGUAUAAUAUCUAAAUCAGUUUUGUAUUUGACCGUAUUAUCGGCAAUUGGUUGACAGGUGCUAUUUUA